CUGGGGAGCAGUCAGCUGCGUCCCAGUAGCUGGCUGGGGAGGUGGGACAUGCUGGGGACACGGGAGGGCUUGGGGACAGGUUGGGGACGUGGUGGCACUUGUCCCAGCGCCUGGCACAGGAGGUGACACGGCAGCGGGGACGGGCAGAGGCAGCUGAGGAGGCACUGAGAGGACUGGCCCAGGCGGCUGCCAGGCUGGCCAGGGUGGUGACAGCCCGCGAGGCCGAGGUGACAGCAGCCACCAGCGCCAUGGUCACCCUCAGCGCCCGUCUGCGCCGCGCAGGACAGCGGCUCCGUGUCCUGAGGGGGCUGGUGGCUCCGAUGGUGGCCUUGGACCGUCCCCAGUGGCAGCAGGACUCAGCGGGGGAUGGCCCGGUGGCCAAAGUGACAGGCAGUGUCCAUCCGCUGGCGGGGACGAUGGCCGGUGUCCGGCGCAGCGUGGUGGCCUCGGGGGUGGCUGAGGAGGUGACACACAGCCCGGUGACAAAGGACGAGGUGACAUGGGACGAGGUCACUUCCUGUGAGGACAGGAUGGGGCACCCCCCCAGCAGAGAGGCGUUGGGGUCCCUCGUGAUGCAGCUACAGGCCCUGGGCGCCGCCAUCCUCGGGGACGAUGGGGACAGCAGGGACCCCCCCUGACCCCACUGUGGACCCGGCCAUCCAGGUGAGUCACCCCCCACCGCCCCAGCCAGUGGGAAGGGGACCAGUUUGGCCCAGUUUGGCACUGGUGUGACCCACGUGUCACUUUCCAGGGUAAUAUUUGGC
Molecule: long non-coding RNA, 764 nt
Filed under: Calidris pugnax (ruff)
Lineage: Eukaryota; Metazoa; Chordata; Aves; Charadriiformes; Scolopacidae
Description: lncRNA (ENSCPUG00000010744.1)
Source: RNAcentral